CUACGGGACGCUGCAGUGGGGAAUAUUGGACAAUGGGGGAAACCCUGAUCCAGCAAUGCCGCGUGUGUGAAGAAGGCCUGCGGGUUGUAAAGCACUUUCGGUUGGGAGGACUGCUUCUAGCACUAAUAUUGUUGGAAGUUGACGUUACCUUCAGAAGAAGCACCGGCUAACUCCGUGCCAGCAGCCGCGGUAUACGGAGGGUGCAAGCGUUAAUCGGAAUCACUGGGCGUAAAGCGCGCGUAGGCGGCUAGAUCAGUCGGGUGUGAAAGCCCCGGGCUUAACCUGGGAACUGCAUCCGAUACUGUCUAGCUUGAGUACAGGAGAGGAGAGUGGAAUUCCACAUGUAGCGGUGAAAUGCGUAGAUAUGUGGAGGAACACCAAUGGCGAAGGCAGCUCUCUGGCCUGAUACUGACGCUGAGGUGCGAAAGCGUGGGGAGCAAACAGGAUUAGAUACCCUUGUAGUC
This 464-nucleotide ribosomal RNA is filed under the name uncultured bacterium. RNAcentral's name for it is "partial 16S ribosomal RNA". It matches the Rfam family "Bacterial small subunit ribosomal RNA", at positions 339 to 795 of the family's 1533-position model. The record is from RNAcentral.